UGGGGAAUUUUGGACAAUGGGGGCAACCCUGAUCCAGCCAUGCCGCGUGUCUGAAGAAGGCCUUCGGGUUGUAAAGGACUUUUGUCAGGGAGGAAAUCCCUAAGGUUAAUACCCUUGGGGGAUGACAGUACCUGAAGAAUAAGCACCGGCUAACUACGUGCCAGCAGCCGCGGUAAUACGUAGGGUGCAAGCGUUAAUCGGAAUUACUGGGCGUAAAGCGUGCGCAGGCGGUUUGAAAAGUCAGCUGUGAAAGCCCCGGGCUCAACCUGGGAACUGCGGUUGAAACUCUCAAGCUGGAGUGCGUGAGAGGGGGGUGGAAUUCCACGUGUAGCAGUGAAAUGCGUAGAGAUGUGGAGGAACACCAAUGGCGAAGGCAGCCCCCUGGGAUGACACUGACGCUCAUGCACGAAAGCGUGGGGAGCAAACA
This 427-nucleotide ribosomal RNA is filed under the name uncultured prokaryote. Its description in RNAcentral is "bacterial SSU rRNA". It matches the Rfam family "Bacterial small subunit ribosomal RNA", at positions 355 to 774 of the family's 1533-position model. The record is from RNAcentral.